RNAcentral lists this ribosomal RNA (426 nucleotides) under uncultured bacterium. RNAcentral describes it as "bacterial SSU rRNA". It matches the Rfam family "Bacterial small subunit ribosomal RNA", at positions 97 to 510 of the family's 1533-position model. The record is from RNAcentral.
CGCGAACGGGUGAGUCACACGUGGGUACCACCUCGAUUGACCGGGACACCGGGGAAACUCGGGCUAUACCGGAUGUGCUCUUCUGUCUCAAGACAGUUGAGGAAGGUAGCUUUGGCCUCCGCAUCGAGACGGGCCCGGGCCCAUUAGCUUGUUGGUGGGGUAACGGCUACCAAGGCUGCGAUGGGUAGCUGGUCUGAGAGGACGAUCAGCACACUGGGACUGAGACACGGCCAGACUCCUACGGGAGGCAGCAGUGGGGAAUCUUGCCCAAUUGCGCGANAGCGUGAUGCAGCCAACGCCGCGUGGGGGACAGACGGCCUCUCGGGUUGUAAACCCCUUCAAGUUGGGACGAAGCUUCGUCGGUUCAAUAGCCCGGCUGGAGUGACGGUACCUUCAGGAAGAAGGCCCCGGGAUAACUACGUGCCA